CGUGGAAUAUGGGACAAUGGGCGCAAGCCUGAUCCAGCCAUGCCGCGUGCGGGAAGAAGGCCUUCGGGUUGUGAAACCGGUUUUGGCGGGGUGAAA
RNAcentral lists this ribosomal RNA (96 nucleotides) under uncultured bacterium. Its description in RNAcentral is "partial 16S ribosomal RNA". It matches the Rfam family "Bacterial small subunit ribosomal RNA", at positions 355 to 449 of the family's 1533-position model. The record is from RNAcentral.